UGAACUGGAAUCCGGAGGAAACUGAAAUCGAGCAGACAACAAGAAACGUUCUUCCACAGCGCUUGUCUGCAAUAUUCAACAGAUUGAAUCGCAGGAAAAUAGGUUGUAUUGAUCCAGUUGGGCUAUUCCAUCAGGGCUAUUAUUAUUCAUAACAUUCCACCGACAGUUUGCCCUUUAUGCGGUUCCACGGCCCAGACUGCAAAGCAGGAAGUGUCCAACUUGGGGUCAACAUAGAGGGACGUGGUGACAUGGGCCGGAGGGAACAGACUGACAAGACGCCCUCAGACCCCAUUGUAUCACACACACACACACCCUGUAUACGCAAACACUUCCCUUCCCACACUCAAACUUAUCUGACAAGAGAAACCUCCAGCUAUUUCCUCUCUUCCUAUUAUUAAGUGUUUUUUUCUCCUUCUUGCUUUCAUUACUCCUGUUUUUAUUCGGCAGAGACAGUAACUCUUAAAUCAGGUUAUGGAAGAGGAAGGAAGAGGAGCGGUUGGCAGACUUUAUUAACCUGUCUCACGGCGCGAAGGGACCGCUGGCAGGAAGACAAGCGAGGCAGACGGUGCUGACUCUGAUGCUGACUGCCUCGCAGAGUGAUUACCUCAGAGAAGGCCAGAUGGGAAAGAAUAAAUGGAGGCUGGAGGGGAGAUGAAAUAAAAUAAAAGGCCUUAUGUGAAGAGGCAAGUGCCGACUCCACAGCCCGAGAUUAUUCAAGCUGCUCGGAAAACAUACCCGAGUUCCCGAAGGAAUAGCUUCACUCAAGGAAAAGUGCCAUCUACAAGAAUGCUUUUGUGAAAAGGAAAUGUACUGUGUGUGUGUGUGCGUGUGUCUUUGCAGAUGGCAGGGUAAGUGAAGCACAGUUCUGCACGAUUACGAUCCAACUCUGUUGCCCCCACACUGCUAGGUCACCAGUGACUGUUGUUUCGCGAAGUUUUCCUUCAGCCGUGAUUAAAUAUGAAUAUAGCCAUUAGCCCUGUAGACUACAUCAACAUUCAGAAACAGAAACACUUGCACAGAUGGACAGAAUAAGGCGCGGAGGCUCCAAGUAUCCUCCCCUGUGCGCACUUAUGUCUUUUUAAACAACUGUCUGUAAACCCUAAAAGGUGCCAAAUAAAGUUUUAAUCAAAAUACAUAAUUGAGUAUGUGAAGAAUCGUGAACAUGUCUAUACAGUAAGCCUUGCUGCUAUUUGCUUGAUUGUAAUAACAUAUUUGUAAAAAUCAGCGUUAAAAUAAAUAGACUUAACAAACUGUCUGGCGGUUGGCUAUAUCACUGCUCCAAAAAUCAAACGACAGGCUUGCUUAUCCCAUUCAGGUGCUUAGACUAGAAUUGUUCAAUCUUAUUCAACCUGGACAGCUAGGCCUACCUUCCUGUAGGUUAUUUGCUCUAACACCAGUUAUAAAUAACCUGAUUUAACAGGUUAAGAAAGUUAUUAUUCAAAUCCGGUGUGCUUGAUUAAAGUUGGAGCAAAAAAGUAUGGAAAGUUAGCUGUCCAGCAAACCGGGUAGGUGACCAUGCAUUUUGCCCAGAGAACAAUUACAUGGAAAAAAAGUUGAUGUAGUGCGCCCUCGUGUGGCUCACGCCGUACAAUCAAUUCAAUCGUUAUGUUUACGGUUGCUAGGCGACCUCAAGACUGAAAUAAAGUUUCCGAUUGAUAGCUAGCUAGCAACUUUCGCUACUUCGUAGCCUUACGCCUGGGGUCAUCCAGCUACAAAUUCGCAGAGCUAAAACGGGACGUUUUGUUCUGGGUUUGGUUUUUGAUCUACUUUUACAAAGUCUAGACAACAAAACAAGGAUGGCGGGUAAACAUGAGAAGACUACAGUGGAUAUCGUCCAUCAAAACUCAAUUCAUAUCGAAACCAUCAAGAAAGAGCAGAGGUGCCAGAAGCUGUACACACGAUUUAGCAUCAACCCAUUCAAGAAACUCCACGUUUUGACUGACAAGCCCAUGUCCAAGAACACGCACGAGGAGGUAGAAGAAGACCCUGCUUUUCUGAAGGCCAUUCACGAUGCAUGCUUGGAACCAACCAAGAAAUACCCUCAGCCCCAGACUGAGAGCCAAGAAAUCGGAUGGAUAUCCAAGCCUCUGGUAUUAAGUGUUUAGUGAAAGAUUGCUACAGACCGCAGUGAUCGAAGGCUGAACUUUUCACGUCAGAACACGGAAAUCACCAAGUACAUGGAUGCGGCAUGGCGUCUGAAGGAGCAGACCCAGAAUUUGAGCUAGAUGUCAUCGGAUAGCUAUCACACACUUGUGCUAACUUCAUUAGUCAACAUAAACGGAGAAAUAUCAGAGAAUAUAUGGCUAUGAAGCAUGUUUGAUGAUUAAAGGAAAAAUCAAUGUUCAGAAAACAUUGAGGCUUGAUUAGGGAACACUUUAUCAAAGGAGAUGCAGGUGAAAAUCACUGGCACCAGGUGUAUAGUAUUUUCAUGUUGCCAUGUGUGAAAAAAUAUAGAUUUAUCCAGAUCCAUACAACACUUUCUCAUUGAAUAUUAAUCAUUUUGAUAAAGGGAAAGGGCAAAAAUGACAGAAGUUCAAUAUUACAAAAUGUCGCACCACAUAAGGUCGGGAAUCGGGUUAAGGAGAGAGCUGAAUGCAAAAUGUUUAAUUCAUAAAAAUCUCUAAUCCACUAUUGAAGCCUUAAACAAGAAGAAUGUUUACUGGAAACUAGUCACUACAGUAAUAUGCAACAGUAUGGAAUCCAUGCCUUUCCAAAAACGAACAAUAAAAGCAAACAAAAACAUAAUUAUCUCUUGCUUGUCCGAUUCCAUGUUUGUUUAUAAAACAGCACGAGAAAAAAUGUCCGGAGUAAUAUUGAACUUGUGGUGGAAUGGAGGUUUCCUCUCUGAAUUUGCACUGACACUCAAAACAAAUAUAAUAUAACAAAAUGUCCACAUAGCACAGCCUGCACGGCAGUCUCUCUGGUGAACCCCCCCCCCCCCCC
Molecule: RNA transcript, 2943 nt
Organism: Hypomesus transpacificus
Lineage: Eukaryota; Metazoa; Chordata; Actinopteri; Osmeriformes; Osmeridae
Gene: cfap144
Gene name: family with sequence similarity 183 member A
Exons: 4
Source: RefSeq, a predicted model, not a curated record